AUGAUUACAAGAGGAGAGACCGCAGAAACUUGGCGGCGCCGAAGGAGCAAACAGUGAUGUGAAUCUCUCAGGCAAAAAGACUCUUGUAGGACG
RNAcentral lists this non-coding RNA (93 nucleotides) under Pontibacillus chungwhensis. RNAcentral describes it as "Glycine sequence". It matches the Rfam family "Glycine riboswitch aptamer". Rfam says of the family: This family represents the bacterial glycine riboswitch. Glycine riboswitches usually consist of two metabolite-binding aptamers domains with similar structures in tandem. The aptamers cooperatively bind glycine to regulate the expression of downstream genes. Lineage: Bacteria; Bacillati; Bacillota; Bacilli; Caryophanales; Bacillaceae. The record is from RNAcentral. RNAcentral also lists the same sequence under 1 other name.